GUGCGCAGCCGCCGCGGUAAUACCGGCAGCCCGAGUGAUGGCCGAUCUUAUUGGGCCUAAAGCGUCCGUAGCUGGGUCUGAAAGUCCAUCGGGAAAUCCACUCGCACAACGAGUGGGCGUCCGACGGAAACUGCACAGCUUGGGACCGGAAGGCGCGACGGGUACGUCCGGGGUAGGAGUGAAAUCCCGUAAUCCUGGACGGACCGCCGAUGGCGAAAGCACGUCGCGAGGACGGAUCCGACAGUGAGGGACGAAAGCCAGGGUCUCGAACCGGAUUAGAUACCCCGGUAGUCC
This 294-nucleotide ribosomal RNA is filed under the name uncultured bacterium. Its description in RNAcentral is "partial 16S ribosomal RNA". It matches the Rfam family "Archaeal small subunit ribosomal RNA", at positions 455 to 747 of the family's 1478-position model. The record is from RNAcentral.